AGAGUUUUUUCCUGGCUCAGGAUGAACGCUGGCGGCGUGCCUAACACAUGCAAGUCGAACGGAGCGCCCGGACGGAGUAUUUCGGUAUGAAGACCAGGUGACUGAGUGGCGGACGGGCGAGUAACGCGUGGACAACCUGCCGUGUACAGGGGGAUAACAGCCGGAAACGGCUGCUAAUACCGCAUAUGCGCACAGUGCCGCAUGGCACAGGGCGGAAAGCCUAGAUCUUAUCUAGUACGGUACACGAUGGGUCCGCGUCUGAUUAGGUAGUUGGCGGGGUAACGGCCCACCAAGCCCACGAUCAGUAGCCGGCCUGAGAGGGCGGACGGCCACACUGGGACUGAGACACGGCCCAGACUCCUGCGGGAGGCAGCAGUGGGGAAUAUUGCACAAUGGGGGGAACCCUGAUGCAGCGACGCCGCGUGAAGGAAGAAGUAUCUCGGUAUGUAAACUUCUAUCAGCAGGGAAGAAAGAAGACGGUACCUGACUAAGAAGCCCCGGCUAACUACGUGCCAGCAGCCGCGGUAAUACGUAGGGGGCGAGCGUUAUCCGGAUUUACUGGGUGUAAAGGGAGCGUAGACGGCCAUGCAAGCUCGGUGUGAAAGGUGCGGGCACAACCCGCAGACUGCACUGAGAACUGUAUGGCUGGAGUGCCGGAGGGGCAGGCGGAAUUCCUGGUGUAGCGGUGAAAUGCGUAGAUAUCAGGAGGAACACCGGUGGCGAAGGCGGCCUGCUGGACGGCGACUGACGUUGAGGCUCGAAAGCGUGGGGAGCGAACAGGAUUAGAUACCCUGGUAGUCCACGCCGUAAACGAUGUAUACCAGGUGUCGGGCAUCAAGGAUGGCCGGUGCCGUAGCAAACGCAUUAAGUAAUCCACCUGGGGAGUACGUUCGCAAGAAUGAAACUCAAAGGAAUUGACGGGGACCCGCACAAGCGGUGGAGCAUGUGGUUUAAUCCGAAGCAACGCGAAGAACCUUACCCGGCCUUGACAUCCCGAUGAAUGUACAGUAAUGUGUACAGGACUUCGGUACAUCGGAGACAGGUGGUGCAUGGUUGUCGUCAGCUCGUGUCGUGAGAUGUUGGGUUAAGUCCCGCAACGAGCGCAACCCCUGCCCUCAGUAGCCAGCAGGUGAAGCUGGGAACUCUGAGGGGACUGCCCGGGAUAACCGGGAGGAAGGCGGGGAUGACGUCAAAUCAUCAUGCCCCUUAUGGCCGGGGCUACACACGUGCUACAAUGGCGGAAACAGAGGGAGGCAGCCCCGUGAGGGUGAGCGAACCCCAAAAAUACCGCCUCAGUUCGGAUUGUAGUCUGCAACCCGACUACAUGAAGCCGGAAUCGCUAGUAAUCGCGAAUCAGAAUGUCGCGGUGAAUACGUUCCCGGGUCGUGUACACACCGCCCGUCA
RNAcentral lists this ribosomal RNA (1404 nucleotides) under uncultured bacterium. RNAcentral's name for it is "bacterial SSU rRNA". It matches the Rfam family "Bacterial small subunit ribosomal RNA". The record is from RNAcentral.